This 2178-nucleotide ribosomal RNA is filed under the name human gut metagenome. RNAcentral's name for it is "bacterial LSU rRNA". It matches the Rfam family "Bacterial large subunit ribosomal RNA", at positions 752 to 2925 of the family's 2925-position model. The record is from RNAcentral.
UGUGGUAACACACACUGGAGGACCGAACCGACUAGUGUUGCAAAAUUAGCGGAUGAGCUGUGGAUAGGGGUGAAAGGCCAAACAAAUCUGGAGAUAGCUGGUUCUCCCCGAAAACUAUUGAGGUAGUGCCUCGUGUGUCGCUCCAGGGGGUAGAGCACUGUUUUGGCUAGGGGGACAUGGAGUCUUACCAAACCAAGGCAAACUCCGAAUACCUGGAAGCGUGAGCACGGGAGACAGAGCACCGGGUGCUAACGUCCGGACUCAAAAGGGAAACAACCCAGACCGCCGGCUAAGGUCCCAAAUAACAGCUAAGUGGAAAACGAAGUGGAAAGGCCGUGACAACCAGGAAGUUGGCUUAGAAGCAGCCAUCCUUCAAAGAAAGCGUAAUAGCUCACUGGUCGAGUCCUUCUGCGCGGAAGAUGUAACGGGGCUAAGCUGUUAACCGAAGCCGCGGAUGCGCUGGUUAUCCAGUGCGUGGUAGGGGAGCGUUCUGUAAGUCUGCGAAGGCGGUUCGAGAGGACUGCUGGAGAUAUCAGAAGUGCGAAUGCUGACAUGAGUAACGUUAAAGCAGGUGAAAAGCCUGCUCGCCGUAAGCCCAAGGAUUCCUGCUCUACGUUCAUCGGAGCAGGGUGAGUCGGCUCCUAAGGUCAGGCCGAAAGGCGUAGCCGAUGGGAAUCAGGUUAAUAUUCCUGAACCUGCGUCAGAUGCGAUGGGGGGACGGAGCAUGGAAGAUCAUCCGGGUGUUGGAAGUCCCGGUUGUUUAGCGUAGGAGGUCUGCAGGCAAAUCCGCAGACGCAUCUCCAAGGCAAAGACACGUGCCGCCACGGCGGCGAAGUGAUCGGAAGUGCUUCCAAGAAAAGCCUCUAAGCUUCAGUCUGAUGCGGACCGUACCGCAAACCGACACUGGUGGGCGAGCUGAAUAUGCUCAGGCGCUUGAGAGAACUCGGGAGAAGGAACUCGGCAAAUUGACACCGUAACUUCGGAAGAAGGUGUGCCGUAGUACCGUGAGAGGAGAGACACCUUGAGCGGGAAACGGUCUCAGAGAAUAGGUGGCUGCGACUGUUUAUUAAAAACACAGCACUCUGCAAAGUCGAAAGACGACGUAUAGGGUGUGAUGCCUGCCCGGUGCUGGAAGAUUAAUUGAUGGGGUGAGAGCCCUUGAUCGAAGUCCCAGUAAACGGCGGCCGUAACUAUAACGGUCCUAAGGUAGCGAAAUUCCUUGUCGGGUAAGUUCCGACCUGCACGAAUGGCAUAACGAUGGCCACACUGUCUCCUCCCGAGACUCAGUGAAGUUGAAAUGUUUGUGAUGAUGCAAUCUACCCGCGGCUAGACGGAAAGACCCCAUGAACCUUUACUGCAGCUUUGCAUUGAACUGUGAACCGAUUUGUGUAGGAUAGGUGGGAGGCAGAGAAGAGGCCACGCCAGUGGCCUUGGAGCCGACCUUGAAAUACCACCCUGAUUUGUUUGCGGUUCUAACCACGGACAGUGAUCCUGUCUUGGGACCGUGCAUGGUAGGCAGUUUGACUGGGGCGGUCUCCUCCUAAAGGGUAACGGAGGAGUACGAAGGUACGCUAGGUACGGUCGGAAAUCGUGCUGAUAGUGCAAUGGCAAAAGCGUGCUUGACUGCGAGAGCAACAACUCGAGCAGAUGCGAAAGCAGGUCAUAGUGAUCCGGUGGCUCUGAAUGGAAGGGCCAUCGCUCAACGGAUAAAAGGUACUCUGGGGAUAACAGGCUGAUACCGCCCAAGAGUUCAUAUCGACGGCGGUGUUUGGCACCUCGAUGUCGGCUCAUCUCAUCCUGGGGCUGUAGUCGGUCCCAAGGGUAUGGCUGUUCGCCAUUUAAAGAGGUACGUGAGCUGGGUUUAAAACGUCGUGAGACAGUUUGGUCCCUAUCUGCCGUGGGCGUUGGAAGAUUGACGGGGGCUGCUCCUAGUACGAGAGGACCGGAGUGGACGCACCUCUGGUGUACCGGUUGUCACGCCAGUGGCAUUGCCGGGUAGCUAAGUGCGGAAGAGAUAACCGCUGAAAGCAUCUAAGCGGGAAACUUGCCUGAAGAUGAGUCUUCCCGGAGGUUGAACCUCCCUCAAGAGUCGUCCGAGACCAGGACGUCGAUAGGUCAGGUGUGUAAGCGCUGUAAGGCGUUGAGCUAACUGAUACUAAUUGCUCGUGAGGCUUGAUC